AAGACUAUACUUUCAGGGAUCUUUUCUAUAGUAUGUUACUAGAGAAGUUUCUCUGAAUGUGUAGAGCACCGAACAGAGGC
Small nucleolar RNA from Callithrix jacchus (white-tufted-ear marmoset), 80 nucleotides. Its record names the gene U3. It matches the Rfam family "Small nucleolar RNA U3". From Rfam's summary of the family: Small nucleolar RNAs (snoRNAs) are involved in the processing and modification of rRNA in the nucleolus. There are two main classes of snoRNAs: the box C/D class, and the box H/ACA class. The record is from Ensembl. NCBI's taxonomy places the organism in Eukaryota, Metazoa, Chordata, Mammalia, Primates, Cebidae.